This 468-nucleotide ribosomal RNA is filed under the name uncultured bacterium. Its description in RNAcentral is "partial 16S ribosomal RNA". It matches the Rfam family "Bacterial small subunit ribosomal RNA", at positions 28 to 507 of the family's 1533-position model. The record is from RNAcentral.
GACGAACGCUGGCGGCGUGCUUAACACAUGCAAGUCGAACGGAAAGGCCCUGCUUUUGUGGGGUUCUCGAGUGGCGAACGGGUGAGUAACACGUGAGUAACCUGCCCUUGACUUUGGGAUAACUUCAGGAAACUGGGGCUACUACCGGAUAGGAUCUCCUGCUGCAUGGUGGGGGUUGGAAAUUUUCGGCGGUUGGGGAUGGACUCGCGGCUUAUCAGCUUGUUGGUGGGGUAGUGGCUUACCAAGGCUUUGACGGGUAGCCGGCCUGAGAGGGUGACCGGCCACAUUGGCACUGAGAGACGGCCCAGACUCCUACGGGAGGCAGCAGUGGGGAAUAUUGCACAAUGGGCGGAAGCCUGAUGCAGCAACGCCGCGUGCGGGAUGACGGCCUUCGGGUUGUAAACCGCUUUCGCCUGUGACGAAGCGUGAGUGACGGUAAUGGGUAAAGAAGCACCGGCUAACUACGUG